Molecule: transfer-messenger RNA, 174 nt
Filed under: Hyphomicrobiales bacterium
Lineage: Bacteria; Pseudomonadati; Pseudomonadota; Alphaproteobacteria; Hyphomicrobiales
Description: partial transfer-messenger RNA
Rfam family: Alphaproteobacteria transfer-messenger RNA
About the family: Bacterial tmRNA, also known as 10Sa RNA or SsrA, is named for its dual tRNA and mRNA-like properties. Its role is to liberate the mRNA from a stalled ribosome.
Source: RNAcentral
CGGACUUUUGCUCGGCAUGGUACCGCCGUUAUCGGGCCAAAUUCAUAGUUGCCAACGACAACUAUGCUCCGGUUGCUCUGGCUGCGUAAGCAGUCCGAAAGACCGAACUAAAGUCCUGACGUCUUAGCAGCGUCAGGCGGGGUUCGGAGGCACCUGGCAACAGAAGCCUCCACU